AGAUUGAACGCUGGCGGCAUGCCUAACACAUGCAAGUCGAACGGCAGCACAGCCCGCAAGGGUGGGUGGCGAGUGGCGGACGGGUGAGGAAUACAUAGGAAUCUACCCUGUCGUGGGGGAUAACGUAGGGAAACUUACGCUAAUACCGCAUACGACCGAGAGGUGAAAGCGGCGGACCGCAAGGCGUCGCGCGGCUGGAUGAGCCUAUGUCCGAUUAGCUAGUUGGCGGGGUAAUGGCCCACCAAGGCGACGAUCGGUAGCUGGUCUGAGAGGAUGAUCAGCCACACUGGAACUGAGACACGUCAGACUCCGUACGGGA
Molecule: ribosomal RNA, 319 nt
Filed under: uncultured soil bacterium
Lineage: Bacteria
Description: bacterial SSU rRNA
Rfam family: Bacterial small subunit ribosomal RNA
Source: RNAcentral